RNAcentral lists this ribosomal RNA (450 nucleotides) under uncultured bacterium. Its description in RNAcentral is "partial 16S ribosomal RNA". It matches the Rfam family "Bacterial small subunit ribosomal RNA", at positions 354 to 796 of the family's 1533-position model. The record is from RNAcentral.
GUGGGGAAUAUUGCGCAAUGGGCGAAAGCCUGACGCAGCGACGCCGCGUGAGGGAUGAAGGUUUUCGGAUCGUAAACCUCUGUCAGAAGGGAAGAAACUACAUUGUGCUAAUCAGCAGUGUACUGACGGUACCUUCAAAGGAAGCACCGGCUAACUCCGUGCCAGCAGCCGCGGUAAUACGGAGGGUGCAAGCGUGAAUCGGAAUUACUGGGCGUAAAGCGCACGUAGGCUGUAGUGUAAGUCAGGGGUGAAAUCACACGGCUCAACCGUGGAACUGCCUUUGAUACUGCACAACUUGAAUCCGGGAGAGGGUGGCGGAAUUCCAGGUGUAGGAGUGAAAUCCGUAGAUAUCUGGAGGAACAUCAGUGGCGAAGGCGGCCACCUGGACCGGUAUUGACGCUGAGGUGCGAAAGCGUGGGGAGCAAACAGGAUUGGAUACCCGUGUAGUCC